UACGUAGGGUGCGUGCGUUAAUCGGAAUUACUGGGCGUAAAGUGUGCGCAGGCGGUUUUGCAAGACAGUUGUGAAAUCCCCGGGCUUAACCUGGGAACUGCAUUUGUGACUGCAAGGCUAGAGUACGGCAGAGGGGGGUAGAAUUCCACGUGUAGCAGUGAAAUGCGUAGAUAUGUGGAGGAAUACCGAUGGCGAAGGCAGCCCCCUGGGCUAACACUGACGCUCAUGCACGAAAGCGUGGGGAGCAAACAGG
Molecule: ribosomal RNA, 253 nt
Filed under: uncultured bacterium
Lineage: Bacteria
Description: partial 16S ribosomal RNA
Rfam family: Bacterial small subunit ribosomal RNA
Source: RNAcentral